ACGGAGGGUGCAAGCGUUAAUCGGAAUUACUGGGCGUAAAGCGCGCGUAGGCGGUUUGGUAAGUCAGAUGUGAAAGCCCUGGGCUCAACCUGGGAACUGCAUUUGAUACUGCCUGACUAGAGUGUGGUAGAGGGAAGUGGAAUUCCGGGUGUAGCGGUGAAAUGCGUAGAUAUCCGGAGGAACAUCAGUGGCGAAGGCGACUUCCUGGACCAACACUGACGCUGAGGUGCGAAAGCGUGGGUAGCAAACAGGAUUAGAUACCCUGGUAGUCCACGCCGUAAACGAUGUCAACUAGCUGUUGGGCUCAUUAUAAGGGUUUAGUGGCGAAGCUAACGCGAUAAGUGACCGCCUGGGGAGUACGCCGCAAGGUUA
Molecule: ribosomal RNA, 372 nt
Filed under: uncultured bacterium
Lineage: Bacteria
Description: bacterial SSU rRNA
Rfam family: Bacterial small subunit ribosomal RNA
Source: RNAcentral